AAACUGGCAGGCUUGAGUCUUGUAGAGGGGGGUAGAAUUCCAGGUGUAGCGGUGAAAUGCGUAGAGAUCUGGAGGAAUACCGGUGGCGAAGGCGGCCCCCUGGACAAAGACUGACGCUCAGGUGCGAAAGCGUGGGGAGCAAACAGGAUUAGAUACCCUGGUAGUCCACGCCGUAAACGAUGUCUACUUGGAGGUUGUGCCCUUGAGGCGUGGCUUCCGGAGCUAACGCGUUAAGUAGACCGCC
RNAcentral lists this ribosomal RNA (244 nucleotides) under Salmonella enterica. RNAcentral's name for it is "partial 16S ribosomal RNA". It matches the Rfam family "Bacterial small subunit ribosomal RNA", at positions 630 to 873 of the family's 1533-position model. Lineage: Bacteria; Pseudomonadati; Pseudomonadota; Gammaproteobacteria; Enterobacterales; Enterobacteriaceae. The record is from RNAcentral.